Long non-coding RNA from Vigna radiata var. radiata (mung bean), 1549 nucleotides. RefSeq lists it as uncharacterized. The record is from RefSeq and is a predicted model, not a curated record. The transcript is spliced from 3 exons. Lineage: Eukaryota; Viridiplantae; Streptophyta; Magnoliopsida; Fabales; Fabaceae.
AUUCUGCACCUUUCUCCCUUUCCUCCCUCUUUGCACAAGCCUUUUCCCCUUUUCUCUUUAACCCUAAAAUAGACAUCUCCGUCACAAUCAUGCAGCGUCUGGUUACCACAAUGAGGAGGAGGCAACGUUCAAGAAGGCUCCCAGUUCCGAUAACUUGACGGCUGCUAUUGGAGAUGUGUAUACGGACGAAAUAUUGGGUUGCACCGAAACUUUGAGGAGUUUAAGGUCCUAUCGGGGAAAUCGCAAGGGAGUCGCGAUCGAUGCUGGAGGCCAUCGAAGUCGUGGCGCAUGCAGCACUCCCUACCUACGUCGACGACGCCUAUGACUGGCUUGUGAACGUGAAAGAUGAUGUUCUGGAGCGGUUUGAUGCAUCCGUGGACGAGUUCCAGAGACAUCGGGAGGAGGAAAAAACUGGGCAUUCGGCGAAGCACCCGAUGGAGGAUGGGUUUCAACUGGUUUCUAGGAAGAAGAAAGGGGUAAGAGGGAUUGUGAUUCGAGGGACGGUUUCUAAAACGAGUCUAUGUGGCAAAUAAGGAUAAGAAGACGACCUAAGCCCAAGGUUUCGUUUCAUAUUCCAACGGACGUGGACCACGAUCAACCUUCCGCUGCGGCGACGAAGACCCAAGCGCUGCAGACCCUAGCAGCGGGUCCUCUCUCCUCGUCGAUGGCAAAGCUUGCCACGUGAAAUGUUUUGAAACAUGUAUGUCCACUCUCCUUUCAUAUUUUCUCCAAUUCUCUCUACUUAUUGUGUGAAAUGUUUGUGGAAUAGGUAUGUUGAGUGCACAUCAUCAGCAAUGCAGGGAUUGACUCUGUUUAGAAAUUUAUAUCCAAAACAUAGAAGAAAGGAAAUCUAUUAUUGCAUUUCUAAAGCAAUCCAUUACAUUGAAAAAGCACAAAAUCCUGAUGGAUAAUGGAGCAUAAAGAAACUAGAAAAGGACAUACCUAUGCCACCACUUAUAAAGAGGGAUGCGGAUGCUCUUUGGGUGAGUUUUCCAAUUUUAGUCAAUAGAGGGCGGGUUCCACACAGUUGGAAAGACAAAUUUUUAGAGGCUUGACAAGAUCAAAAUUUUUAUGGUGUUGUUAUUUUAGCAGAUGCAAAGGGUAAGAGUAUAUUGAAUUUGGCUAUGAGCUUGGACAUCUAUGUUCCAAGGGAUGAAAGAUUUGGGCACUUGAAAUUGUCAGACUUUCUUGCUAAUGCAUUGAAGUCCAUAGUUCAAGUUAUUAAACCUGAGCUGGAAUCUCUAUUUGACGGCACCCCAUUGAGUUUGAUAGCUUAAAAUAUGUGUUUAAGAUCAAGGUACCUUAAGAAUGUUAGAGGUAAAAUCCCUGCAGAACUGCUCAAAGAAAUUCUCCGAAUUGGUGGAGCCUGUAGAGUUGCUCAAAGAAAUUCUCCGAACUAUUGGAGCCUACAAACAAUGACUUAUUGGGCAUGCUAUUGGAAUCAAAUUGUAUUUUAAAUUAUCAAUAGAUGUAUAUUUAUAUUUACAUUGUAAUUUUCAAUGAAUGAAUGUAUCUUAUUUUAAAUCAUCAAUAAAAUUAAUUUUGAUAA